CAAGUCGCACGAGAAAGCGGGAGCAAUCUCGCAAGUACAGUGGCGUACGGGUGAGUAACACGUGGAUCAUCUGCCCUGGAGUGGGGAAUAACGCUGGGAAACCGGCGCUAAUACCGCAUAUUCCCGAGAGGGGAAAGCAGCAAUGCGCUCGAGGAGGAGUCCGCGGCCGAUUAGCUAGUUGGUAGGGUAAAAGCCUACCAAGGCUGUGAUCGGUAGCCGGCCUGAGAGGGCACACGGCCACACUGGCACUGAAACACGGGCCAGACUCCUACGGGAGGCAGCAGUGGGGAAUCUUGCACAAUGGGGGAAACCCUGAUGCAGCGACGCCGCGUGAGCGAUGAAGCCCUUCGGGGUGUAAAGCUCUUUCGGCAGGGAAGAUUAUGACGGUACCUGCAGAAGCAGCUGCGGCUAACUACGUGCCAGCAGCCGCGGUAAUACGUAGGCAGCAAGCGUUGUUCGGAGUUACUGGGCGUAAAGGGUGUGUAGGCGGCCUGUUAAGUUCCGUGUGAAAUCUCCCGGCUCAACCGGGAGGGUGCGCGGAAAACUGGCGGGCUAGAGUGCGGGAUGGGAGAGUAGAAUUCCUGGUGUAGCGGUGAAAUGCGUAGAUAUCAGGAGGAAUACCGGUGGUGUAGACGGCUCUCUGGACCGCAACUGACGCUGAAACACGAAAGCGUGGGUAGCAAACAGGAUUAGAUACCCUGGUAGUCCACGCCCUAAACGAUGCAUAUUUGGUGUAGGUCAUUCAGUUGAUCUGUGCCGGAGCUAACGCGUUAAAUAUGCCGCCUGGGGAGUACAGUCGCAAGGCUGAAACUCAAAGGAAUUGACGGGGGCCCGCACAAGCGGUGGAGCAUGUGGUUCAAUUCGACGCA
This 869-nucleotide ribosomal RNA is filed under the name uncultured Bacillota bacterium. Its description in RNAcentral is "bacterial SSU rRNA". It matches the Rfam family "Bacterial small subunit ribosomal RNA", at positions 58 to 958 of the family's 1533-position model. The record is from RNAcentral. Lineage: Bacteria; Bacillati; Bacillota.